AGUGAACGCUGGCGGUAGGCCUAACACAUGCAAGUCGAACGGCAGCACAGUAAGAGCUUGCUCUUACGGGUGGCGAGUGGCGGACGGGUGAGGAAUACAUCGGAAUCUCCUUUUUCGUGGGGGAUAACGUAGGGACACUUACGCUAAUACCGCAUACGACCUACGGGUGAAAGCAGGGGAUCUUCGGACCUUGCGCGAUUGAAUGAGCCGAUGUCGGAUUAGCUAGUUGGCGGGGUAAAGGCCCACCAAGGCGACGAUCCGUAGCUGGUCUGAGAGGAUGAUCAGCCACACUGGAACUGAGACACGGUCCAGACUCCUACGGGAGGCAGCAGUGGGGAAUAUUGGACAAUGGGCGCAAGCCUGAUCCAGCCAUACCGCGUGGGUGAAGAAGGCCUUCGGGUUGUAAAGCCCUUUUGUUGGGAAAGAAAAGCAGCAGGUUAAUACCCCGCUGUUCUGACGGUACCCAAAGAAUAAGCACCGGCUAACUUCGUG
Molecule: ribosomal RNA, 492 nt
Filed under: uncultured bacterium
Lineage: Bacteria
Description: partial 16S ribosomal RNA
Rfam family: Bacterial small subunit ribosomal RNA
Source: RNAcentral